Molecule: ribosomal RNA, 499 nt
Filed under: uncultured bacterium
Lineage: Bacteria
Description: bacterial SSU rRNA
Rfam family: Bacterial small subunit ribosomal RNA
Source: RNAcentral
CUGCCUACACAUGCAGUCGAGCGGACCGAGGGAGCUUGCUCCUUUAGGUUAGCGGCGGACGGGUGAGUAACACGUGGGCAACCUGCCCUGCAGACUGGGAUAACUUCGGGAAACCGGAGCUAAUACCGGAUAACACCGAAAACCGCAGGGUUUUCGGUUGAAAGGCGGCUUUUAGCUGUCACUGCAGGAUGGGCCCGCGGCGCAUUAGCUAGUUGGUGAGGUAACGGCUCACCAAGGCGACUAUGCGUACCCCACCUGAGAGGGUGAUCGGCCACACUGGGACUGAGACACGGCCCACACUCCUACGGGAGGCAGCAGUAGGGAAUCUUCCGCAAUGGACGAAAGUCUGACGGAGCAACGCCGCGUGAGCGAAAAAGGUCUUCGGAUCGUAAAGCUCUUUUGUCAGGGAAGAACAAGUGCCGUUCGAACAGGGCGGUACCUUGACGGUACCUGACGAGGAAGCCACGGCUAACUACGUGCCAGCGCCCCCCGGGUUAUU